CCUACGGGAGGCAGCAGUGGGGAAUAUUGCACAAUGGGGGAAACCCUGAUGCAGCGACGCCGCGUGAGUGAAGAAGUAAUUCGUUACGUAAAGCUCUAUCAGCAGGGAAGAAACACUGACCUUACGGUCAGCAGACGGUACCUGAGUAAGAAGCCCCGGCUAACUACGUGCCAGCAGCCGCGGUAAUACGUAGGGGGCAAGCGUUAUCCGGAUUUACUGGGUGUAAAGGGAGCGUAGACGGUGCGCCAAGUCUGGAGGGAAAUGCCGAAGCUUAACGGCGGAACUGCUUUGGAAACUGGCGAACUAGAGUGCGGGAGGGGUAAGCGGAAUUCCUAGUGUAGCGGUGAAAUGCGUAGAGAUUAGGAGGAACACCGGUGGCGAAGGCGGCUUACUGGACCGUAACUGACGUUGAGGCUCGAAAGCGUGGGGAGCAAACAGGAUUAGAUACCCGGGUAGUC
Molecule: ribosomal RNA, 458 nt
Filed under: uncultured bacterium
Lineage: Bacteria
Description: partial 16S ribosomal RNA
Rfam family: Bacterial small subunit ribosomal RNA
Source: RNAcentral